GAGCUCAAAUUUGAAAUCUGGUAGCCUUCGGUUGCCCGAGUUGUAAUCUAGAGAAGUGUUUUCCGCGUUGGCCCAUGUACAAGUCCCUUGGAACAGGGCGUCAUAGAGGGUGAGAAUCCCGUCCUUGACAUGGACCCCCAAUGCUUUGUGAUACACUUUCAACGAGUCGAGUUGUUUGGGAAUGCAGCUCAAAAUGGGUGGUGAAUUCCAUCUAAAGCUAAAUAUUGGCGAGAGACCGAUAGCGAACAAGUACCGUGAGGGAAAGAUGAAAAGCACUUUGGAAAGAGAGUUAAACAGUACGUGAAAUUGUUGAAAGGGAAACGAUUGAAGUCAGUCAUGCUCUUUGGAUUAAGCCGUUCUGCGGUGUAUUUCAUUGAGCGGGGUCAACAUCAGUUUUGAUCGCUGGAAAAGGGCAGGAGGAAGGUAGCACUCUCGGGUGAACUUAUAGCCUCUUGUCGUAUACAGUGAUUGGGACUGAGGAACGCAGCAUGCCUUUUGGCCGGGAUUCGUCCACGUACAUGCUUAGGAUGUUGACAUAAUGGCUUUAAACGACCCGUCUUGA
RNAcentral lists this ribosomal RNA (562 nucleotides) under Naganishia friedmannii. Its description in RNAcentral is "eukaryotic LSU rRNA". It matches the Rfam family "Eukaryotic large subunit ribosomal RNA", at positions 104 to 657 of the family's 3401-position model. Lineage: Eukaryota; Fungi; Basidiomycota; Tremellomycetes; Filobasidiales; Filobasidiaceae. The record is from RNAcentral.